This is a non-coding RNA of Lolium perenne, 689 nucleotides long. The record is from RefSeq and is a predicted model, not a curated record. NCBI's taxonomy places the organism in Eukaryota, Viridiplantae, Streptophyta, Magnoliopsida, Poales, Poaceae.
CGGUUAUUACAGUAUCUCCGGAUCUACUAGGAUGAAACUCCAAGUUGAGCUCCAACAACUUCAGGAUUAUGCCAAGAAUGUGGUACCUGCACGAGAAGGUGCUGGUCUUCCACAUCCACGGCCGCAAGAUCGCCCGCCUUCACUCCACCAGCUUCGGGAUCUUCCACCUCCACUCCUCGAGCUCCAGUGGCGUCCGUCUGCGAGAGGUCGCCGGCGCGAAGGGUGGGAGGUCGCCAGCCCGCCGGCGUGAGCCUAUGAGCUCCACCGGGUGGCCCGCCGGCUCCAGCCAGCGAGGCGUGCGAGACUCCGCCGGCACCAGGCAGCGAGGGGCGAGGGACUCCGCCGGCACCAGGCUGCGAGGGGCGCGGGACUCCGCCGGCACCAAGGUGCGCGGCGCGUGAAGCUCCGGCGGCGGCGCGGAAUUUCGGCGGCAUCAGGCUGCACGGGGCGGCGUCGGGCGGCGCGAUCCGCCGGCGGGAGCUCGCGGCAUCGACCGCGGGAGUCCCCCGCUGCCAGGCUGCACGGGGCGCGGAACUCCGGCGUCGUCACGGGCGUGCGAUCCGCCGGCGGGAGCCCGCGCACGCGAUCUUGGGAGAUACGAUUUGGGAUUGGAUGGUGAUGUUUUCGAAAUACUAAGGGUUCAAUUGCAAAAACUGUUUUACACUAGCCCUGCGACACCUAUUACGUGA